AUGUUACUCUUGAGGGGAAUCAUGUUUUUGAGGUUCCUGAUGGUUGUAGGUUGAAGGUUACCUCAACAAAUCCAGGUGUAUCAAUGCAAUUAGAACCCAUCGAAGAUGCAAAGAAAGAUACGGGAAGCUGGUAUUGGAGUUACAAGAUAGAUGGACCUCAUGUAAAGUUGGAAAUGGUAGAAUCUUAAAGGAUAUAUAGCAUAU
Amaranthus tricolor (Joseph's coat) is the source of this 204-nucleotide long non-coding RNA. RefSeq lists it as uncharacterized. The transcript is spliced from 3 exons. The record is from RefSeq and is a predicted model, not a curated record. Lineage: Eukaryota; Viridiplantae; Streptophyta; Magnoliopsida; Caryophyllales; Amaranthaceae.